GAUGUAGCGGUGAAAUGCGUAGAGAUCUGGAGGAAUACCGGUGGCGAAGGCGGCCCCCUGGACGAAGACUGACGCUCAGGUGCGAAAGCGUGGGGAGCGAACAGGAUUAGAUACCCUGGUAGUCCACGCCGUAAACGAUGUCGACUUGGAGGUUGUGGCUUCCGGAGCUAACGCGUUAAGUCGACCGCCUGGGGAGUACGGCCGCAAGGUUAAAACUCAAAUGAAUUGACGGGGGCCCGCACAAGCGGUGGAGCAUGUGGUUUAAUUCGAUGCAACGCGAAGAACCUUACCUGGUCUUGACAUCCAGGUGCUGCAUGGCUGUCGUCAGCUCGUGUUGUGAAAUGUUGGGUUAAGUCCCGCAACGAGCGCAACCCUUAUCCUUUGUUGCAACUCAAAGGAGACUGCCAGUGAUAAACUGGAGGAAGGUGGGGAUGACGUCAAGUCAUCAUGGCCCUUACGACCAGGGCUACACACGUGCUACAAUGGCGCAUACAAAGAGAAGCGACCUCGCGAGAGCAAGCGGACCUCAUAAAGUGCGUCGUAGUCCGGAUUGGAGUCUGCAACUCGACUCCAUGAAGUCGGAAUCGCUAGUAAUCGUGGAUCAGAUGCCACGGU
This 615-nucleotide ribosomal RNA is filed under the name uncultured bacterium. RNAcentral describes it as "bacterial SSU rRNA". It matches the Rfam family "Bacterial small subunit ribosomal RNA", at positions 672 to 1363 of the family's 1533-position model. The record is from RNAcentral.